UCUGCUCAACAUUGAUUUUUUAAAUUGCUGUGGUAUUUUGACUAUACGAAGGUAUUGAAAUAAGGCUUUAAAUGAGUGCUAAGAGAAUGGUUUAACGAUUCUAAGCUUUCUUUAAUUAAAAAAUUGAAUUUAAUUUUUUUGUGAAGAAGCAAGGAUAUAAAUUAGGGACAAGAAGACCCUAUGAAUUUUGUAUUAAAUUUUGUUAUAAUUUUGUAAUUAUAACGUUUAAAUUAUUUGGGGUGAGUAGAAAAGAAUGUUUAUCUUUUUUUUUAAAAUUAAUUUGUUCCGUUUUUAACGAUUUUAUGAAAAAAAUACUCUAGGGAUAACAGCGUAAUAAUUUUGGAUAGUUCUUAUAGAUAAAAUAGUUUGCGACCUCGAUGUUGGAUUAGGAUUCUUUUUUAGUGAAGAAAUUAAAGAGAAGAAGUUUGUUCAACUUUUAAAUUCCUACUUGAUCUGAGUUCAGACCGGA
RNAcentral lists this ribosomal RNA (469 nucleotides) under Ixodes simplex. RNAcentral describes it as "partial 16S ribosomal RNA". The stretch from base 322 to 469 matches the Rfam family "Bacterial large subunit ribosomal RNA", at positions 2473 to 2620 of the family's 2925-position model. The record is from RNAcentral. Lineage: Eukaryota; Metazoa; Arthropoda; Arachnida; Ixodida; Ixodidae.